RNAcentral lists this ribosomal RNA (483 nucleotides) under uncultured bacterium. RNAcentral describes it as "partial 16S ribosomal RNA". It matches the Rfam family "Bacterial small subunit ribosomal RNA", at positions 29 to 506 of the family's 1533-position model. The record is from RNAcentral.
AUUGAACGCUGGCGGCAGGCCUAACACAUGCAAGUCGAGCGGAUGAAGGGAGCUUGCUCCUGGAUUCAGCGGCGGACGGGUGAGUAAUGCCUAGGAAUCUGCCUGGUAGUGGGGGAUAACGUCCGGAAACGGGCGCUAAUACCGCAUACGUCCUGAGGGAGAAAGUGGGGGAUCUUCGGACCUCACGCUAUCAGAUGAGCCUAGGUCGGAUUAGCUAGUUGGUGGGGUAAAGGCCUACCAAGGCGACGAUCCGUAACUGGUCUGAGAGGAUGAUCAGUCAAAUGGGAAAUGGAAAACGGCCCAAAACCUAAGGGGAGGCACAGGGGGGGAAAUUGGGAAAAGGGGGGAAAGCCUGAACCAGCCAGGCGGGGGUGGGGAAAAAGGUUUUGGGAUGGUAAAGCAUUUUAAGGGGGGAGGAAGGGAAGUAAGUUAAAACCUUGCUGUUUGGACGUGACCAAAAAAAAAAGCACCGGCGAAAUUAGG